GGGCCUAAAAAGCCCCACGAGCA
RNAcentral lists this transfer RNA (23 nucleotides) under Drepane punctata (spotted sicklefish). Its description in RNAcentral is "partial tRNA-Phe". The record is from RNAcentral. Lineage: Eukaryota; Metazoa; Chordata; Actinopteri; Ephippiformes; Drepaneidae.